UACGUAGGGGGCAAGCGUUGUCCGGAAUCAUUGGGCGUAAAGAGCGCGUAGGCGGCCCAGUAAGUCCGCUCUGAAAGUCAGGGGCUCAACCCCUGGAUGCGGGUGGAUACUGCUGGGCUAGAGUCCGGAAGAGGCGAGUGGAAUUCCUGGUGUAGCGGUGAAAUGCGCAGAUAUCAGGAAGAACACCCGUGGCGAAGGCGGCUCUCUGGUACGGAACUGACGCUGAGACGCGAAAGCGUGGGGAGCGAACAGG
Molecule: ribosomal RNA, 253 nt
Filed under: uncultured bacterium
Lineage: Bacteria
Description: partial 16S ribosomal RNA
Rfam family: Bacterial small subunit ribosomal RNA
Source: RNAcentral